Molecule: long non-coding RNA, 933 nt
Filed under: Oryctolagus cuniculus (rabbit)
Lineage: Eukaryota; Metazoa; Chordata; Mammalia; Lagomorpha; Leporidae
Description: lncRNA (ENSOCUG00000032905.1)
Source: RNAcentral
AUGGCCCAAGUGUUUGAGACCCUAAACCCAUAGAAGAGAACUGGAUGAAAUUCCAGGCUCCUGGCUUUAGCCUGCCCCAGCCUUGGUAAUUGUAGCCAUUUGGGAAGUGAACUAGUGGAUGGGAGACUCUUUCUCUCUCUCUCUCUAACUUGCCUUUCAAUAGAUAUUAUUUAAAACAUUAAUCUUUGUUUCUAUUCUUGAUUUGUUUCUGUUUUUCAGAACUGAAAAUCAUAAAGACUAUCCUUUCCGUGCAGAGUACUGAGGACAGCUUCCUUCUUCCUCACUUCCAGACCAAUGGAUGCCAACGAUCGCAUCAUCAAAAAAGGAAUGAAUUGUUUGAGAAUAUCUCAUCUUUAAUCACCCUUGUGUUGUUGGAAUAAGGCCUUCAUUGUCAAGAACUCAUUCUUUGAUAAUAACUGCUGUUUGUGAUAUGUGUUUCAUAUUCAUUCUGACAGAUAUGAGAAACAAAACCAGCACUACCAAGGAAGCUAUAAAGGAUUAUGCUGCAGUUUACAAGAGUGGGGAUAAGUGAUCACUGUUCACCAAGUGUAUUUCAGCAUGCAGACAAUUAGGAAACAAAUGACAUAAGGAUACCAUUUGAGUUAGUAGGUUUAUCAUAGUUCUCUGCCCUUAGGAAACAUAGGGGUGAUUUUAAUGUAUUUCUUAUGAAAUGGACUUACAUAAAAGAACUUCAAAAAUUGUGUAUGGAGAUAUGUCAUUUAUUAUUCCUCUCUACAUGGCGAUUUGCUCUUGUGGGGCUCCAGAUUGUUCAACUGAAGAAUAAAUAUGUAUUAAUAUUGAUUGAGUAUAAUGUAAUUUUUUAUUUCUAAAAUAUUGCUCUUCAUACCAUAUCUGUAAGCACCAUGUAAGAGAGAGGAAUUGUAGCACCAUGUAAGAGAGAGGAAUUUCCAUUGAUAUUCAGUUGCAAUUCUC